This 484-nucleotide ribosomal RNA is filed under the name uncultured bacterium. RNAcentral's name for it is "partial 16S ribosomal RNA". It matches the Rfam family "Bacterial small subunit ribosomal RNA", at positions 28 to 507 of the family's 1533-position model. The record is from RNAcentral.
GUUGAACGCUGGCGGCAGGCCUAACACAUGCAAGUCGAGCGGAUGAAGGGAGCUUGCUCCUGGAUUCAGCGGCGGACGGGUGAGUAAUGCCUAGGAAUCUGCCUGGUAGUGGGGGAUAACGUCCGGAAACGGGCGCUAAUACCGCCUACGUCCUGAGGGAGAAAGUGGGGGAUCUUCGGACCUCACGCUAUCAUAUGAGCCUAGGUCGGAUUAGCUAGUUGGUGGGGUAAAGGCCUACUAAGGCGACGAUCGGUAACUGGUCUGAGAGGAUGAUCAGUCACACUGGAACUGAGACAGGGUCAAGAGUCCUACGGGAGGCAGCAGUGGGGAAUAUUGGACAAUGGUGGAAAGCAUGAUACAGCCAGGCCGCGUGUGAGAAGAAGGUCUUCGGAUCGUAAAGCACGCUAAGUUGUGAUGAAGGGCAGUAAGUUAAUACCUUGCUGUUGUGACGUUACCAACAGAAUAAGCACCGGCUAACUUCGUG